CUCAAGAUUUAUGUUGGAUGGUGGUCGACAUCAUCCAAGGAGUUUUUUAAAACACGGUUCUCUUUUCUAGCUGACUGUGAUUCCCACCUUCUGCUCCUCCUCUUGUAGAGAACUUCUAUGCACCAAUCCUUCCCAUGGCCCCUAGUAAGGAAAAGGUCACAGGAGGCUACAGAAAACAACAGCCAGCUCUGCUGGGGACCACACCGAGUCACCAGCACUUCACAGACACCUCAACACAAGUCAGCCUGAAAGGAGCCAACAAUGAGCAACACAGGCAAUUUUUCUCUUUAGGGUUUCUUGCUGCCGGUGUGAAUAACAGGAGGAAGCUGCAAUUCAACUUGCGGUGCUCAGAGAUAAGGGAAGGAUUUUUAUUUUACUUUUUUUUUUUUUUUUUUUUUUUUUUUUUUUUUUUUUUUUUUUUUUUUUUUUUGAAUGAGAGUGGCUGAAAAGUCUGUAUUGAGUAGAGAUUGAGGAGCUGUAGCCAUGGGAACCAGGCUGAUGCUGGUGUCUUUGUCUAAAGGAAUC
This 525-nucleotide long non-coding RNA is filed under the name Cyanistes caeruleus (blue tit). RNAcentral describes it as "lncRNA (ENSCCEG00000013712.1)". Lineage: Eukaryota; Metazoa; Chordata; Aves; Passeriformes; Paridae. The record is from RNAcentral.